Mus musculus (house mouse) is the source of this 6688-nucleotide long non-coding RNA. RefSeq annotates it as predicted gene, 34980. The record is from RefSeq and is a predicted model, not a curated record. The transcript has 3 exons. NCBI's taxonomy places the organism in Eukaryota, Metazoa, Chordata, Mammalia, Rodentia, Muridae.
CCCUGAGGACCCCUGCAGAACAGAUUCCCUCAGCCCAGCUCCAGACUCCCUAGGAGUCAGCCCUCAGACCCCACACAGAGAGCUGAGCAAAGGCAAGGGGCAAGCCAAAGAGUCUGGAGCAAGCCUGCCACUCCCCACUGUGUGACUGGGAAGGUGGACACCCAUGUCUCUGUGACAUACACAGAAAGCCGCAGAGCUCAACUAAACUAACAUGGUGCCCCUCAAAAUGCCAGAAAGGUAAAAAACAAAAUGGAUGUCCCAACAGCACUCAUUUUUUGUGUGACUUCGAUGGAACUUGUUACUGGACCCAAGGACUUCUGUGAGAUCAGGCUUCAGAGUGCAGAAAAGACUUCUUGUUCCUCUUUUAGGAACUAACGCUCUGCUAGUGGAGAAAGAAGAAAACUCAAAAAGCAGCAACUGAUGCGUGUUCGGGGGUGGGGGUGGGGUCUGUGAUGUAAGCACAUGCUGGAACAUACAGAGAGCCACAUUGGAGGACAGGACACAAGGAAAGACCAGCAUUUCCUGUCCCCAGCCCCAUCAGUAUCCAUAUGGCUACUACUGAGUUUCAUUCUUUCCUCCAGGACUUUGUGGGUUUCUCCCUUUGGGACCUGUCUGUGUGGACUUAGGUCUUCUAAGAAGCAAGCAAAGGAUUUACUGGGGUGGGGGUGGGGGGUCACUGGGAAGGAGGGAGGAGAGGGGAACAGGAUGGAUAGGAAGGCUACUGACACUGGUGAAAAGAGCAAGGAGAGGGGUUGGCAAGGAAGAAGCUGAGGCUGCAGCCAGUGCCUGGGGAGUCACUGCAAGCUCCUGGGGCCGUUGCAAGUCCCUACCUCAUGGGAUUGAGCCAGCCCCAGCACCAAAGCACCAAAGCUAAUGGCCUAAAAGCAACCAGAAGUCCAGGCAAGGGUCAAAUACACACACACAGGGGUGCCAGGACUGGGUAUCUAUCCAGCCAUUGCUCUGGAAGGAGACCUCAGCCCAUCCUUCAUCCUCCAUCCUCCAUCCUCCUCCCUCCCAAAUUGUUACCUUAAUGUCAGUGAGCAUCUCACUGGGGGUUGUCUACCUGUAAAGGCUGAGAUGCAGUUGGAAUUUCUUACCUCAUUCGAUCCUUUUCAAUAACCAUCUAGAUGAUGAUUAUUAUUAUCAUGGUUACCUCCAUUUCAUAGACAAGGAGCUAAAUUUCACAUCCACUGACUCUCUUGCUGGGGGUCACAACUCCCAAAUGGAACGGCACCCUGGACUGUAACCAUUGCUCUAAGUUACCUUGGCCAGGAAAAGGUACAAAAAGGGAAUCUGAGCUGUUCCUUUGCCUCUGUGCACCCAUAUCCCCUAUUACUUAUUCGCCAAAGAAAGUCUCCUCUGGUCUCCUUUGGGUCUGUGUCUACCUAUCUCCAGGCUGGCCUGCUGGUCUGCUCCAAGCAAGACACCCAAGAAUGUUCACCAGAAGUAAGCACUGUCCAACAUCUGCAUGUCUGUCAUUUUCCUAAGCAUGCCCUCCUCCAGGAAGCCCUCCCUGGCUUGCCUGGGUUUCCAUAGUCCCCUUUACACAGAGCGUACCAAAAUCCUGUUACCUCUGUCAAACGCCGGAACUCAGCCUUUCUAGAACCAAAGCUAAGUCUAAAUCCAGAGUGUGGGUGCUCACAGAGGGAAGGCUGGUCCAGGACAACAAAAGAACACCUUUGGAAGGCAAGGGACCCUUGCUGUGGAAAGCAUGACCUUGGCCUGUGGAGGCACAGCCUGCAGUCCGGGGCCUGACCACCAGGAGCCUCAUGAUCCCCCAGGCAAUGCUGAGGCUGACUCCUCUCUUCCCGGAGGCAAGUUAGGCAAGUUAGAGCCUCCACCCCAACUUUCCUGCGGGAAGCCAGCCCAGGCCUCAGCAUCUGCUCAGCUGCCAGUGGCCCAGUGGGUAGCCCCAGCUAAGGAGGAGAGUUAUUUUUAUUUAUUUCUUCUUAAUCAUGAACUUAAUUUAGCUGCUAAUCAGGUUACCAUGGUGAUUUGCACGGGAUUUACAGCAGUUUCCUAACGCGCCUUUUUUUCUCACUCUUUUAGUUAAGGAGUAAAAUUUGGGCGCUGCGAGAGCGACUGCCUACUGAAUGUCCUAGAACAAGGUCAGCCGUGUGGGUUUCUCAGUUUUCUUUCCCCCUCUUGCCUCGUGUGCUUAAGAGUCUGCCGUGACUCUGGGCAGACCCCAGGUACUUCUUUUCUGCCCUUUCUCCAAAAAGCUUCAAUGGGCCCUUGUUGCCAGGGUGAGGCUGGAACCAGGUGAGGGUUUUCAAGGUCCGCCCUCCUUCCUCACAUCCCAGAUUCUCCCUGGCCUUUUAUGUGUUCCUCUGUAUCUUUGUUUGUUUGUCCCCCAGGCCUGGAAUAUCUUUCUCAGACAAAUGAAAGCCUUUCGUUCUCUGGAAGAGUUUCAUUCCUACCCUGUGCACUGGGGGAGCUUCUGUCUGGGGUCACCAUAUCCCAAGGCAUUAGCUGGAAAUACAUCUGAGCACCGACUCUGACCCUGCCACACUCUGGCAUGGAAGGGGGUAUUGUACCAGCCAAUGCAGGGGAGCAGGGCAGGGAGGCCGUAGGGGGAGAAGUCUAAGAACUGGCAUCGUGACAGCUUGCUGUAUUCUGCUGUCUGGAAGUCCCAUUUACAUUCCAUCCAAGCACCUGAGGAAGAGGGAGAUUCAACUCAUGCCCCCUCUGUCUCACCUAGGGGCUCAGAAGCACUCCUUUCUGGGACAACUAAAUGGAGUACCCUGCCCCAUCCCCCAUGGGAGGCUCCCGGAAGGGACAGCGUCUCCAGAUUGGAGACCACAAUUUCCAGGAUCUCCCUGAGGACCUCAGGGCCAGCUGCCAAUCAGACCUGGGAUCAGCCACAGUCCAUUAGUGAACGCCCCCAGUGCAAGGCGCCAACACAGCCCCCCAGGCAUUGGCGCCAGAGGCUGCCCAGGGAACCCAAAGCCACCUUCAAUCAUUAUCUUGGCUUUUGUCACCAGACAAACUGGACCACGGACUAUAGGUUGUUUCCUAGGUGAGCAACUCCUCUGGCUUCUGCCCCAGCUACCCUGCUAUCCCUUGGUGUUGGAUGUGGGUGUAGCCCCUAUGGGAGGCCUGGCACCUCUGCAGCAUCCCACCUACUGCUACUGAGGCAGUGUGAGUUUCUAACUUGCUAUCCUUCUCUGAGUCAUCCUUGUCUCCUCUCGAAGAUGGGUAGCAGUAAGAAGAGAUGUCCAGGGUUUGAUAACCAGAGCUGCAUGGAGUCACAAGAACUGGGAUCCCAGACAGGCUCUGAGCAUAUUAUGUGACUUUUUCCUCAAGUUUGAGACCCUGAGAAGUGAGGUUCACAAACCAAAGCACUUAUGUCGGUGACAAGAAAGGAAUUGCCUGACAGGCCAAGUAAGCACUGAAUGACUGAAGCCACUCUGGCAGGCACGGCUGCCCACUGACUCCAGACCCCAUCCCUCCAACCUGUAAGGGAUCCUGGUCAGAGCAAACCUAACCCAGUAGGCAUAGGGAUGAGAGCCUAGAAGGACAGAGAAGUCCAGACACAAGUGCCCAAACCUGGGGAGAGUCUAGGAUUCUAAUCCCAGACUCUAACUCAGUGAGGCAUUUACUAUUUGAUCUUCGGCAAGUCACUUAACUUCUCUGGGAUUCUGUUUCCUUUUCUAGGUAUGUAAAACCCCACCUAAAUGAAGAUUGAACUUUUUAUUCUCCAGCCCCACCAACCACACCCAGACUUUUCCACUGUUGAACCAGUAGUAAAGGGAGAAAGGGCGGCUAGGAAAGGUGGGAGAAGAGUGCAGUACCUGCUCUGGCCACUGGGGGCGGACUUACUCCACCUUGUGUAUAUCUAAACUACAGGUAACAAGGUUCUGGUUUAACAAACACCCAGCAUGGAUAAAGGCAGGAAGUUCCUCCUUUGACAGCUCAUGGGUUGUACAGCAUUGUACCUAACAACACAGGCUCUGAGCGUGAUGCCAGAGUUCAAAUCCCAGGUCUGCCUCUACUACCUUGGUGGCCUUUGAGCAAACUGUCUACUCUGCCUAUGUCUCCACUUCCUUCUAAUGGGAACAAAGAGCAGUGGCCUUACCAGGCCAGUGAGUACCUGCACACUGUCCAGUGAUGUGCACCAAGCAUUUCCCCAUCUGCAACUUCUCAAUGUCAUCAUGGUAACAGUCCAGGGUACUGAAAGGCAGAGAGCUGAAACCUCUCACCUUGGGCCUGCUCACUCAAAGCCAGUGCCUUUGCCAGCAGCCCCUGCCCAUCCCCGCUUCUGCUCAAUAUGAUCGAUGUUCUCAACUGACUUGUUUUGCAAAACAAGUUCAUAUAGCAAUGGAAACAGAGACAGGAGUAGGAGUUAAUUAAGGGCAGGGUGAACCACACAUCGAUCCUAACAUCGUUAAAAGAGAGACAACCAGACUUUAGGAUGUGAUUCAACAAGGAGAACGCAACACCAUCUCCUAGGGCUUCCAGACAAAGAUCGAAUAUGACAGCACCCUAGUUCCCCACUUCUGGGAAGCACUGGGAAUGGGGGAGCCCACAGAACAGCACCAGGAGGGGGCCAUCAGCCACACCCACAGGGAAGGUGGCAGCAAGACCCAGAACCACUCAGAGAUAAGCAGAAGUCUCAAUAGAAACUCACUAUAGUUUUUGAAAAAGAAAUACGUGACAUUUCUCUUAUUCUCAGUGUGGACUAUUAGAAGGGAGUUUAAGAAGCACAUCCAUUAAAUGCAAUGGCCGAUGACACGGCCCAAACACACAAAAGGCAAAAAUAUAUUUUUUGAGAAAGUUUGGAAUAUUUAUUGAAUAUUGAGCGUUGGAUAUGGAAAGAACUGUUGUUGUUGUUGUUGUUGUUGUUUUUACUUUUGCUAAAUGUGAUGUUGAUAUUAUAUAUGAUCAUGCUAGAAGAAAUUCUGAGUCAUAACCUGUUAGUUAUAGCUUCUAAAAUAUUCAGGUAUAAAAUGAGCCAGUGCCUAGGAUUUGUUUCCAACAUUCAGACAAGGGGCGGGGAAACAGGCAGAGGGUGAAGACAGAUCACCAAGUAGGAGAAGCUACAGACUCAAGGUUCAGGAGUGAGCAUGGUGUGGCCCCCUGAGACAGAGAAGACUGGAAGGCCUCUCAAGCCCUUGGCCAUUCAAGGAGUAGCACUUCCCUUACCUAUUCUCAGGCUCCGAGGGAAAGCGAACAUUUGCACACAGCCCAGAAACUCAGUUGCUCAUUCGCUCACUUGCCCACUCCUCAAUUCAUCUACCCAUCCAUCCUCUAUGUGUUCAGUCAACACACCUGCUUGUUGGAAAGCAUACUUGUGAGAAAUGCAGAACGGGUCAUCCUGGCACUGUGGCACUGCUGGGGUAGAAGGGAGAGCCACAAGCUUGUUGAAUCUACCCUUGUGAAACCAAACCUCAACAAAGCAUGAGAAGUCUAAAUAAAGAUGGGUAUGAGCCAUGUUGGCAUUUUACAUGAAGGGGGUGACUUGGUCUGGCCUGAGGGGUGCCCAUGGACACUUUCUCUUGAAGGAUAAGACAGGCAUGGUCAUGUCCCAGGAAGGACACCUAGACCGCAAGAGCAAAUAUCCUGGGGCAGCAAGAAGCGAGAAGUUGGAGAGACCACAAAGAUGGGAAGGACAGAAUGACAGAAGGAACAAGCCAAUUAAUGAGCAUCUGAGGCUGAAAUCACUAGAGAAAGCCUUGCCACAUAAUGCCAUGCCACACAGACACAGAGGCAGUUCUUCCAUAAACGCCAUGCCACACAGACACAGAGGCGGGGCAGGGGCGUUUGGCUUGCUAAUAGGUGUUCCUGCAGUCAGUCCAGACAAGAACUGGAAAGGCAUGGGCUCAUGUUGACUUGAGAAAAUGCUCACAUCCUUCAGGAAUUUUCAAUGGGAACCAGCAUAGAGCUUAAGCCCACUCAGAGGGGCAGAGAAAACUCUAUGGCAAAGUGGACCGUUGGAACUACCAGCCAGCUCAAGUCAAGGACAAGCCAUCCUAGCCAACUGCAGGUCCACUUGAGCAGUGAUUUACGGCCCCGAGACAAUGGCUCUUUAAGAAAAAGACCCUGCACAAGCCAGACAUGUUGUUGCAAGUAUUAGAGCCCAUCCAUCUAUCCGAGUCAUCCUAGGAUCUGGAAAAUGGACCAGGCUGGCAUGAGCUGAAAAUGCCUCCACAUACAUCCUCAUUCAUGAACCAAACGUUUUCUUCCUUGUCUGGAAGCCUACCAGACACCUAUAGUUGUCCAUAGCCCCCCACCGAAGGUCAGUCUCCAAACCAUGCGAAGCAUUCUGUGCCCUUGUGAGAGAUGCAUUUGAGCCAGCACUCUGAAGCUCAUCUUUGUCCCCGAGAGGAUGCUAGACCCUGGCUGCAGAAGCAACAUGCCUGACUCAGCUCUGUGGUCCCAGCAGUUUGGCUGAGAAGCAGUCAAUGAACAUCUGCUGAAGGACAGGACAGACCUCUGGCACUGGAGAUGUUACAGCAAACCCAACUUGAGAAGGAGAAAUGAGAAGACAGGGGAGGGGGAAAACUUAAAAGGUAAUAUUCAUUGUCAAGAGCGGGCUAUGAAUUUAUACUUUAAAACCCCACAUAAAUCUAGUGUUUAUUUAAUCAUGUAUGAGAGCAAUGCAAGAGCACAGAUUCUAGAUAAAAAUGCAAGCCAAAUGUUAGUGGUCAUAUUUCUAUGUGGUUGGCUUAUGUGUGUUCUUAUUUUU